GUUGAUCCUGCUAGUAACAUAUGCUUAUCUCGGAGAUUAAGCCAUGCAUGUCUAAGUAUAAGUUAUAUAUGGCGAAACUGCGAAUGGCUCAUUAAAUCAGUUAUAAUCUAUUUGAUAAUGUUUUUAUACGGAUAACCGUGGGAAACCAGAGCUAAUACGUGCACUAAAGGCCGGAAGGCUGUAUUUAUUAGUUAUAAACCAAUGGCUUCGGCCUUUGUGAUGAUUCAUAAUAACUGAUCGAAGCGAACUGGUGUUCGCUAAAUCUUUCUAGUUUCUGCCCUAUCAGCUUUCGAUGGUAGUGUAUUGGACUACCAUGGCUAUCACGGGUAACGGAGAAUUAGGGUUCGAUUCCGGAGAGGGAGCCUGAGAAACGGCUACCACAUCCACGGUAGGCAGCAGGCGCGUAAAUUACCCAAUCCUGACUCAGGGAGGUAGUCACGAGAAAUCUUAGAUCGGCCCAAGUUGGCUGAAUACAUGAUGGAUUAAAUAUAGACCAUUUUUUGAAAUCAAUUGGAGGGCAAGUCUCGGUGCCAGCAGCCGCGGUAACUCCAGCUCCAAUAGUGUAUAUUAACGUUGCUGCAGUUAAAAAGCUCGUAGUUGAAUUUCUGGGGGGCUGUCUUUCCUAAGGGAUCGUACGGCUACCUCAUCCGCGCCGGAAGGCACUACAGUCUUACUUAGUGUUGGAUGCGUGUUUUACUUUGAAGAAAUUAGAGUGUUCCAGGCAGGCUUUGCUUGAAUACAUCAGCAUGGAAUAAUGGAAUAGGACAGGUCAUUUUUAUUGGUUAUAUGACUUGUAAUGAUUAACAGGGACAGUUGGGGGCGUUUGUAUUCAAUAGUCAGAGGUGAAAUUCUUGGAUUUGUUGAAGACAAACUAAUGCGAAAGCAUUCGCCAAGGAUGUUUUCAUUAAUCAAGAACGAAAGUUAGGGGAUCAAAGACGAUUAGAUACCGUCGUAGUCCUAACCAUAAACUAUACCGACUAGGGAUUGGCAAGGGGAGUGACUCUUGUCAGCACCUAAUGAGAAAUCAAAGUCUUUGGGUUCUGGGGGGAGUAUGGUCGCAAGGCUGAAACUUAAAGGAAUUGACGGAAGGGCACCACCAGGAGUGGAGCCUGCGGCUUAAUUUGACUCAACACGGGGAAACUUACCAGGGCAAGACCUGAGUAUGAUUGACAGAUUGAUAGCUUUUUCUUGAUAACGGGGAUGGUGGUGCAUGGCCGUUCUUAGUUGGUGGAGUGAUUUGUCCGGUUAAUUCCCUUAACAAACGAGACCUUAACCUGCUAAACUAGGAGCCGUUAUUUCUAGCGGUAUCCUUCUUAGAGGGACUAUGUGAUUUAAACACAUGGAAGUUUGAGGCAAUAACAGGUCCGUGAUGCCCUUAGAAGUCCUGGGCCGCACGCGUGCUACACUGAUGAGCGCAACAAGUACUACCUGACUCGAAAGAGGAAUGGGAAAUCUUUGCAAUACUCAUCGUGCUAGGGAUUGAUCUUUGCAAUUUUGGAUCAUGAACGAGGAAUUCCUAGUAAGCAUAAGUCAUCAUCUUGUGCUGAUUACGUCCCUGCCCUUUGUACACACCGCCCGUCGCUCCUACCGAUUGAGUGAUCCAAUGAACUUUCUGGACAAUUGACAUCCGUCGUAUUGGAAGUUAAGCAAAUUUUAUCACUUAGAGGAAGGAGAAGUCGUAACAAGGUU
This 1689-nucleotide ribosomal RNA is filed under the name metagenome. RNAcentral describes it as "SSU rRNA". It matches the Rfam family "Eukaryotic small subunit ribosomal RNA". The record is from RNAcentral.